AGAUCAUUUUAAAGGAGGCUUGUGGGGCUGUGAAAUCAGAAACUCUAACCCUAUCACCAAAGACUGAAGUUCUGCAUAGGAUGCCACAGAACUCAACAGCAAUGUUUUCCUGUUCCUUCCAAGGCAUAGGG
Vulpes vulpes (red fox) is the source of this 131-nucleotide small nucleolar RNA. Lineage: Eukaryota; Metazoa; Chordata; Mammalia; Carnivora; Canidae. The record is from Ensembl.